Non-coding RNA from Paramuricea clavata, 322 nucleotides. The record is from the annotation of a GenBank genome assembly. Lineage: Eukaryota; Metazoa; Cnidaria; Anthozoa; Malacalcyonacea; Plexauridae.
CGAAAAUCACGGUUGGCAAAUUUCAGCGAGUAAUAUAUUCUCAUUCUCAAGAACAGCUUCUGGACAUAUUCCAGCAGGAAUUCUUCACAGUACUGGAAUGGCACAGGUUCUGUCUUGAGUAACCUGAAGAUAUCACUUCCAACAGAGGAACGCCUUCGUAUAAAUAGAGAAGUUUUCGAAAAAGACUGCUUCAAGUUGAACGACGUACUCCAGGAAACUAGCUGAAGGCACAUGCAGACCUCCAAAUUGGGAUUUGUCUUGGUCAUAUAUCUUGAAAUAACAAUCUAAUGUCUUGUUGUCAUCCAGAUCAUUUGACUCAGGU